This 421-nucleotide ribosomal RNA is filed under the name uncultured Burkholderia sp. RNAcentral's name for it is "bacterial SSU rRNA". It matches the Rfam family "Bacterial small subunit ribosomal RNA", at positions 381 to 795 of the family's 1533-position model. The record is from RNAcentral. Lineage: Bacteria; Pseudomonadati; Pseudomonadota; Betaproteobacteria; Burkholderiales; Burkholderiaceae.
AGCUGAUCCAGCAAUGCCGCGUGUGUGAGAAGGCCUUCGGGUUGUAAAGCACUUUUGUCCGGAAAGAAAUCCUUGGCUCUAAUACAGUCGGGGGAUGACGGUACCGGAAGAAUAAGCACCGGCUAACUACGUGCCAGCAGCCGCGGUAAUACGUAGGGUGCGAGCGUUAAUCGGAAUUACUGGGCGUAAAGCGUGCGCAGGCGGUUUGCUAAGACCGAUGUGAAAUCCCCGGGCUCAACCUGGGAACUGCAUUGGUGACUGGCAGGCUAGAGUAUGGCAGAGGGGGGUAGAAUUCCACGUGUAGCAGUGAAAUGCGUAGAGAUGUGGAGGAAUACCGAUGGCGAAGGCAGCCCCCUGGGCCAAUACUGACGCUCAUGCACGAAAGCGUGGGGAGCAAACAGGAUUAGAUACCCGAGUAGUC